This 304-nucleotide unclassified non-coding RNA is filed under the name plant metagenome. RNAcentral's name for it is "partial contains 5.8S ribosomal RNA, internal transcribed spacer 2, and large subunit ribosomal RNA". The stretch from base 1 to 104 matches the Rfam family "5.8S ribosomal RNA", at positions 51 to 154 of the family's 154-position model. The record is from RNAcentral.
AAAUGCGAUAAGUAAUGUGAAUUGCAGAAUUCAGUGAAUCAUCGAAUCUUUGAACGCACAUUGCGCCCGCCAGUAUUCUGGCGGGCAUGCCUGUUCGAGCGUCAUUUCAACCAUCAAGCCCCCGGCUUGUGUUGGGGACCUGCGGCUGCCCGCAGGCCCUGAAAAACAGUGGCGGGCUGGCUGUCACACCGAGCGUAGUAGCAUACAUUCUCGCUCAGGGCGUGCUGCGGGUUCCGGCCGUUAAACGACCUUCAUAACCCAAGGUUGACCUCGGAUCAGGUAGGAAGACCCGCUGAACUUAAGC